Non-coding RNA from Camellia sinensis, 198 nucleotides. Lineage: Eukaryota; Viridiplantae; Streptophyta; Magnoliopsida; Ericales; Theaceae. The record is from RefSeq and is a predicted model, not a curated record.
UAUUGGUUGUGUGAGCACACAUUGAUCAUCCACCCUGAAGUUAGCAAAGCAUGCCCAAGGGUGAUCAAGUGGAAUCUUGCCAAAUUACAUAAACGUAUGAAAGUCAUAUCACUACAUCAGCUGACAACAACACAGGUAACUAGUGCUCAAUUGAAUGAGGAAAGUGAUGAAGAACUUGAUGACACUGAAGAAGAAGAA